Molecule: long non-coding RNA, 772 nt
Filed under: Amborella trichopoda
Lineage: Eukaryota; Viridiplantae; Streptophyta; Magnoliopsida; Amborellales; Amborellaceae
Description: long non-coding RNA (ATRI_LNC002173)
Source: RNAcentral
UUGAAUAGUUAAUUUCAAUUGUUUUUAGCUGGACCACAUAUUUACAUCCAUCUUUAAGAUGGAUGCUUUAUACUUCUGGAUUGCAUAUGUGGAAAUGCGGUCCAGCCUGCAUGAAACAAUUUUCCAAUACUCAAGCACCCAAUGAAACCAAACCUUGUUUUCCUCCAAAACUCUCUCUUCCUCUGAUGAGGUGGGGAUUCUGGAUUGGGGGUUUCUCUUCGAGGGAGAGUUACUCACAAGAAUGCCUUGGAAACUCCAUCUUAGAUCACAUAAAAUUUGUUCUUCUUCCAUGGAUUAUACACUAAAAACCCUAGACGCUAAUUAUGAACGGUAGGAACGAUCCUUGUCAACCCCAAAUACUUUCUCAAACGAGCAUCAGACCUGUAGGAGACAAAAACAAUACAGAUUUGCUGUUUUAGAGCUCUAGAGAGAGAAAGUAGGACAAUUUCAAUGCAUAACUGGAGAGAAACUAUUUAUGAAUUUUAUUUGAUUUUUUUUAAUUGUUAUUAACUAAAACUUUCAUUGGAUAAAGGAAUAGAGCUCCGAAGUUAUAGAAAAAAUUACAAAAGAAGAAAUAGAAGAAUACAAACAAUAUUCUCUACUUCCUGGGGUGUACCAUCUCAACUGUGAAAUACAUCGUAAUUUUAACCUUAAUUGAUCCGACACCACAAACAAACUGCUUAAAGGCCCAACUAAACCACACCAAAAGACUAUCAAAGACAACCACCACAAACCUCUAUCUACUACCCACCCAAACUUAUCUAUUAUAUAC